AUUGAACGCUGGCGGCAUGCCUUACACAUGCAAGUCGAACGGCAGCACGGGUGCUUGCACCUGGUGGCGAGUGGCGAACGGGUGAGUAAUAUAUCGGAACGUACCUUAUCGUGGGGGAUAACGCAGCGAAAGCUGCGCUAAUACCGCAUACGCCCUGAGGGGGAAAGGCGGGGGACCGUAAGGCCUCGCGCGAUUAGAGCGGCCGAUAUCUGAUUAGCUUGUUGGUGGGGUAAAAGCCCACCAAGGCGACGAUCAGUAGCUGGUCUGAGAGGACGAUCAGCCACACUGGGACUGAGACACGGCCCAGACUCCUACGGGAGGCAGCAGUGGGGGAAUAUUGGACAAUGGGGCGAAAGCCUGAUCCAGCAAUACCGCGUGUGUGAAGAAGGCCUUAGGGUUGUAAAGCACUUUCAAUUGGAAGGAAAAAACCAGGGUCAAUACCCCUGGUCUUGACAUUACCUUUAGAAGAAGCACCGGCUAACUCCGUG
This 488-nucleotide ribosomal RNA is filed under the name uncultured bacterium. Its description in RNAcentral is "bacterial SSU rRNA". It matches the Rfam family "Bacterial small subunit ribosomal RNA", at positions 30 to 507 of the family's 1533-position model. The record is from RNAcentral.